RNAcentral lists this long non-coding RNA (739 nucleotides) under Phoenix dactylifera (date palm). Its description in RNAcentral is "long non-coding RNA (PDAC_LNC005300)". Lineage: Eukaryota; Viridiplantae; Streptophyta; Magnoliopsida; Arecales; Arecaceae. The record is from RNAcentral.
UUCCAAUUUUACCCUUACCACUUCAACGCAUCUACAACUAUGCCAUUAUCUUUUCAUUCCUUCCAAUUUUACCCCUCAUAUCAAUUUUAAAUGACUAUUCUAUCCUUUUUAAUAAAAAAAAUAUUUUGGGGUUAUUACAUCCUCCCCCCCUUAUAUAAAAUUCGUCCUCGAAUUUAAAAGAGUAAAUCACCUGAUUACUCAAAGGGGUGAGUGUAUCUGCUUUUCAUAUUCUGCUCGGUGUGGUAUUGGAAAUCAAAUCAAUUAGAAGUGUUUUACCUUCUAUCUCUACCACACAAGUAGGAAACACAUACUUCGCUUUUAUACUAUCCCCUACAGAUGUACUAAUAGCUAAGGGAAUAUGCAUUAAUAUCUUAUCCUUAGCUAACUUCCUACCUCCCCUUGAUCAUUAACCCUCCGUCUAUCAGCAGGAGGAGAUUUUUCUCUUUGGGGCUCGACAUGUGCGGAACCCGCAUCCAAUGCUAUAUCUGGCUCCAUCCUCCUUCCAGGACGACCAGGUCCAAUCCUUGGAGGUAUUUUUUUAUAUGUCUCUAAAAGAAUCAAGAGAGAUGGUAGUUAUUACACACUGAGUCAUAAUAUAUUUUACUGAAUUAUAAAUGACUCAUAAAUUAACAUACAGAAAAAUCCUAUGCUCCAUAGUAUAAUCCUAUACUUAAUCCUGACUCACCCUAUUGCUCUGACAGGACUCUUCUUAACCUUUGCUCUGAUACCAAGCUUUGUC